Austrofundulus limnaeus is the source of this 217-nucleotide long non-coding RNA. RefSeq lists it as uncharacterized. Lineage: Eukaryota; Metazoa; Chordata; Actinopteri; Cyprinodontiformes; Rivulidae. The record is from RefSeq and is a predicted model, not a curated record. The transcript has 2 exons.
UGUUCUCUCAGGGAUGACAUUUUUCAGUCAGUUCUGUUCUGGACUCAGACGUCAUCUAUACCAGUCGUAAAGACAUUCCCUGUAUAUUCAGAGUGACUGCGUCCCAGCUCUCCCCCUCCAGCAGCCAUAAGACCUCCAUCCUGAUCCUGGCUGACAGCAAUCAGGAGAGGAACAAGUGGGUGGGCCUCCUCAACGAGCUGCAUCGCAUCCUCAAGAA